This 440-nucleotide ribosomal RNA is filed under the name uncultured bacterium. Its description in RNAcentral is "partial 16S ribosomal RNA". It matches the Rfam family "Bacterial small subunit ribosomal RNA", at positions 338 to 795 of the family's 1533-position model. The record is from RNAcentral.
CCUACGGGGUGCUGCAGUGGGGAAUAUUGCACAAUGGGGGAAACCCUGAUGCAGCGACGCCGCGUGAGUGAAGAAGUAUUUCGGUACGUAAAGCUCUAUCAGCAGGGAAGAAAAUGACGGUACCUGACUAAGAAGCCCCGGCUAACUACGUGCCAGCAGCCGCGGUAAUACGUAGGGGGCAAGCGUUAUCCGGAUUUACUGGGUGUAAAGGGAGCGUAGACGGCAGCGCAAGUCUGGAGUGAAAGCCCAUGGCUUAACCAUGGAACUGCUUUGGAAACUGUGCAGCUAGAGUGCAGGAGAGGUAAGCGGAAUUCCUAGUGUAGCGGUGAAAUGCGUAGAUAUUAGGAGGAACACCAGUGGCGAAGGCGGCUUACUGGACUGUAACUGACGUUGAGGCUCGAAAGCGUGGGGAGCAAACAGGAUUAGAUACCCUGGUAGUC